GAUGAACGCUGGCGGCGUGCUUAACACAUGCAAGUCGAACGAUGAAGCCCAGCUUGCUGGGUGGAUUAGUGGCGAACGGGUGAGUAACACGUGAGUAACCUGCCCUUAACUCUGGGAUAAGCCUGGGAAACUGGGUCUAAUACCGGAUAGGAGCGUCCACCGCAUGGUGGGUGUUGGAAAGAUUUAUCGGUUUUGGAUGGACUCGCGGCCUAUCAGCUUGUUGGUAAGGUAAUGGCUCACCAAGGCGACGACGGGUAGCCGGCCUGAGAGGGUGACCGGCCACACUGGGACUGAGACACGGCCCAGACUCCUACGGGAGGCAGCAGUGGGGAAUAUUGCACAAUGGGCGCAAGCCUGAUGCAGCGACGCCGCGUGAGGGAUGACGGCCUUCGGGUUGUAAACCUCUUUCAGUAGGGAAGAAGCGAAAGUGACGGUACCUGCAGAAGAAGCACCGGCUAACUACGUG
This 466-nucleotide ribosomal RNA is filed under the name uncultured bacterium. Its description in RNAcentral is "partial 16S ribosomal RNA". It matches the Rfam family "Bacterial small subunit ribosomal RNA", at positions 28 to 507 of the family's 1533-position model. The record is from RNAcentral.